GAUUUCAGCAUAAUUGAAGCAGCCACAACACAAGUUCUCUGUGGAUAACAAGUUGGGGAAAGGUGGAUUUGGUGAGGUUUACAAGGCACUCUUCUGAGUGGACAAGUAGUAGCUAUCAAGAGACUCUCCAAAAGCUCUGGACAAGGUGGAGAAGAAUUUAAGAAUGAAGUGCUGGUGGUUGCCAAGCUUCAACAUAGAAAUUUAGUCAGGCUUCUUGGGUUUUGCUUGCAAAGAGAAGAAAAACUACUUGUUUAUGAAUAUGUGCCCAACAAAAGUCUCGACUAUAUUCUCUUUGAUCCUGAAAAGCAAAGGGAGUUGGAUUGGGGGAGACGUUACAAGAUUAUUGGAGGGAUUGCUCGAGGUAUUCAAUACCUUCAUGAAGAUUCUAGGCUUAGAAUUAUACAUCUUUAUCUUAAAGCUAGUAA
Long non-coding RNA from Glycine soja, 425 nucleotides. RefSeq lists it as uncharacterized. The record is from RefSeq and is a predicted model, not a curated record. The transcript has 3 exons. NCBI's taxonomy places the organism in Eukaryota, Viridiplantae, Streptophyta, Magnoliopsida, Fabales, Fabaceae.